This 430-nucleotide ribosomal RNA is filed under the name Serratia nematodiphila. RNAcentral's name for it is "bacterial SSU rRNA". It matches the Rfam family "Bacterial small subunit ribosomal RNA", at positions 75 to 498 of the family's 1533-position model. Lineage: Bacteria; Pseudomonadati; Pseudomonadota; Gammaproteobacteria; Enterobacterales; Yersiniaceae. The record is from RNAcentral.
GGAGCUUGCUCCCCGGGUGACGAGCGGCGGACGGGUGAGUAAUGUCUGGGAAACUGCCUGAUGGAGGGGGAUAACUACUGGAAACGGUAGCUAAUACCGCAUAACGUCGCAAGACCAAAGAGGGGGACCUUCGGGCCUCUUGCCAUCAGAUGUGCCCAGAUGGGAUUAGCUAGUAGGUGGGGUAAUGGCUCACCUAGGCGACGAUCCCUAGCUGGUCUGAGAGGAUGACCAGCCACACUGGAACUGAGACACGGUCCAGACUCCUACGGGAGGCAGCAGUGGGGAAUAUUGCACAAUGGGCGCAAGCCUGAUGCAGCCAUGCCGCGUGUGUGAAGAAGGCCUUCGGGUUGUAAAGCACUUUCAGCGAGGAGGAAGGUGGUGAGCUUAAUACGCUCAUCAAUUGACGUUACUCGCAGAAGAAGCACCGGCU